UGGCGAACGGGUGAGUAACACGUGAGUAACCUGCCCUUAACUCUGGGAUAAGCCUGGGAAACUAGGUCUAAUACCGGAUAGGAGCGCCUACCGCAUGGUGGGUGUUGGAAAGAUUUAUCGGUUUUGGAUGGACUCGCGGCCUAUCAGCUUGUUGGUGAGGUAAUGGCUCACCAAGGCGACGACGGGUAGCCGGCCUGAGAGGGUGACCGGCCACACUGGGACUGAGACACGGCCCAGAAUCCUACGGGAGGCAGCAGUGGGGAAUAUUGCACAAUGGGCGAAAGCCUGAUGCAGCGACGCCGCGUGAGGGAUGACGGCCUUCGGGUUGUAAACCUCUUUCAGUAGGGAAGAAGCGAAAGUGACGGUACCUGCAGAAGAAGCACCGGCUAACUACGUGCCAGCAGCCGCGGUAAUACGUAGGGUGCGAGCGUUAUCCGGAAUUAUUGGGCGUAAAGAGCUCGUAGGCGGUUUGUCGCGUCUGUCGUGAAAGUCCGGGGCUUAACCCCGGAUCUGCGGUGGGUACGGGCAGACUAGAGUGCAGUAGGGGAGACUGGAAUUCCUGGUGUAGCGGUGGAAUGCGCAGAUAUCAGGAGGAACACCGAUGGCGAAGGCAGGUCUCUGGGCUGUAACUGACGCUGAGGAGCGAAAGCAUGGGGAGCGAACAGGAUUAGAUACCCUGGUAGUCCAUGCCGUAAACGUUGGGCACUAGGUGUGGGGACCAUUCCACGGUUUCCGCGCCGCAGCUAACGCAUUAAGUGCCCCGCCUGGGGAGUACGGCCGCAAGGCUAAAACUCAAAGGAAUUGACGGGGGCCCGCACAAGCGGCGGAGCAUGCGGAUUAAUUCGAUGCAACGCGAAGAACCUUACCAAGGCUUGACAUGUUCUCGAUCGCCGUAGAGAUACGGUUUCCCCUUUGGGGCGGGUUCACAGGUGGUGCAUGGUUGUCGUCAGCUCGUGUCGUGAGAUGUUGGGUUAAGUCCCGCAACGAGCGCAACCCUCGUUCCAUGUUGCCAGCACGUAAUGGUGGGGACUCAUGGGAGACUGCCGGGGUCAACUCGGAGGAAGGUGAGGACGACGUCAAAUCAUCAUGCCCCUUAUGUCUUGGGCUUCACGCAUGCUACAAUGGCCGGUACAAUGGGUUGCGAUACUGUGAGGUGGAGCUAAUCCCAAAAAGCCGGUCUCAGUUCGGAUUGGGGUCUGCAACUCGACCCCAUGAAGUCGGAGUCGCUAGUAAUCGCAGAUCAGCAAUCGCUGCGGUGAAUACGUUCCCGGGCCUUGUACA
Molecule: ribosomal RNA, 1281 nt
Filed under: Micrococcus sp. LW1-LECU4B-W
Lineage: Bacteria; Bacillati; Actinomycetota; Actinomycetes; Micrococcales; Micrococcaceae
Description: bacterial SSU rRNA
Rfam family: Bacterial small subunit ribosomal RNA
Source: RNAcentral